This 595-nucleotide ribosomal RNA is filed under the name uncultured fungus. Its description in RNAcentral is "eukaryotic LSU rRNA". It matches the Rfam family "Eukaryotic large subunit ribosomal RNA", at positions 40 to 633 of the family's 3401-position model. The record is from RNAcentral. Lineage: Eukaryota; Fungi.
AUAUCAAUAAGCGGAGGAAAAGAAACUAACAAGGAUUCCCCUAGUAACGGCGAGUGAAGCGGGAAAAGCUCAAAUUUGAAACCUGGCCUCUUUGAGGAAAAUGUCGCAGGGUUGUAGUUUAUAGAGGCGUUUUCGAUGGAAUCCUGGGUAUAAGUCUUUUGGAACAAGGCAUCAUAGAGGGUGAGAAUCCCGUCUUUGACUCAGAGUUUUCCAUUAUGUGAUACGUCUUCAUAGAGUCGAGUUGUUUGGGAAUGCAGCUCAAAAUGGGUGGUAAAUCUCAUCUAAAGCUAAAUAUUGGCGAGAGACCGAUAGCGAACAAGUACCGUGAGGGAAAGAUGAAAAGAACUUUGAAAAGAGAGUUAAACAGUACGUGAAAUUGUUGAAAGGGAAACGUUUGAAAUCAGUCAUUUCUUCUGGAAAUCAGCCUUGCUUUUGCAUGGUGUAUUUUCCAGUGGAAAGGUUAACGUCAAUUUUGGUUGUCGGAUAAAAGCCUUUGGAAUGUGGCUCUCUUCGGGGAGUGUUAUAGCCAAGGUCAAUACGAUGACUGGGAUUGAGGAUUCGCCGCCAAUGCUCUCUGGGCAGUGGCAUCAUGCGC